ACCGAUUUUGAUAAAGAACAACUAAACACGUUUCACACUGGACCUUUAAGCGUGAUUAUUACAAUGGAUAGAUAACAGAU
Molecule: long non-coding RNA, 80 nt
Organism: Etheostoma cragini (Arkansas darter)
Lineage: Eukaryota; Metazoa; Chordata; Actinopteri; Perciformes; Percidae
Exons: 3
Source: RefSeq, a predicted model, not a curated record